CGCGUGAGGGAUGACGGCCUUCGGGUUGUAAACCUCUUUCAGUAGGGAAGAAGCGAGAGUGACGGUACCUGCAGAAGAAGCGCCGGCUAACUACGUGCCAGCAGCCGCGGUAAUACGUAGGGCGCAAGCGUUAUCCGGAAUUAUUGGGCGUAAAGAGCUCGUAGGCGGUUUGUCGCGUCUGCCGUGAAAGUCCGGGGCUCAACUCCGGAUCUGCGGUGGGUACGGGCAGACUAGAGUGAUGUAGGGGAGACUGGAAUUCCUGGUGUAGCGGUGAAAUGCGCAGAUAUCAGGAGGAACACCGAUGGCGAAGGCAGGUCUCUGGGCAUUAACUGACGCUGAGGAGCGAAAGCAUGGGGAGCGAACAGGAUUAGAUACCCUGGUAGUCCAUGCCGUAAACGUUGGGCACUAGGUGUGGGGGACAUUCCACGUUUUCCGCGCCGUAGCUAACGCAUUAAGUGCCCCGCCUGGGGAGUACGGCCGCAAGGCUAAAACUCAAAGGAAUUGACGGGGGCCCGCACAAGCGGCGGAGCAUGCGGAUUAAUUCGAUGCAACGCGAAGAACCUUACCAAGGCUUGACAUGAACCGGUAAGACCUGGAAACAGGUCCCCCACUUGUGGCCG
Molecule: ribosomal RNA, 620 nt
Filed under: Pseudarthrobacter niigatensis
Lineage: Bacteria; Bacillati; Actinomycetota; Actinomycetes; Micrococcales; Micrococcaceae
Description: bacterial SSU rRNA
Rfam family: Bacterial small subunit ribosomal RNA
Source: RNAcentral